UUUAUAAAGUAUAUUAAUUAAUAAAAAAAUCUCCCAGAAGAAUAUAAAUAAUGAUUGGCAUAUAUUGAUUAUCAAGUCAUUUAAUUUUUGGGGACAUGCUCUUUUGGUUAAUCUCUUUGAAUUGUCAUGAUUAAGUGUCUUAAAUAAAUGUAGAGGAGUUUAUAUAGUCUGGCGGCAGCUAAUUUGCUUAGUAUAUGCGUUACCAUUAUAAAUAAUUGCUUAAUUCGUAUUGUUACAGGCC
Molecule: long non-coding RNA, 241 nt
Filed under: Daucus carota (carrot)
Lineage: Eukaryota; Viridiplantae; Streptophyta; Magnoliopsida; Apiales; Apiaceae
Description: long non-coding RNA (DCAR_LNC000640)
Source: RNAcentral